Molecule: long non-coding RNA, 694 nt
Filed under: Mytilus galloprovincialis (Mediterranean mussel)
Lineage: Eukaryota; Metazoa; Mollusca; Bivalvia; Mytilida; Mytilidae
Source: RNAcentral
GUCGGUUGUAGCACAAUCUCAUCAAAUGGUAAAAAAGACCACACAAUAGGUUCAAGGACACAGUUAUCGUCCUUUGGUUUUCGUUAGUUAGUCCCUACUGUGAACAGUGUAUAACUUGCAUUUGUAUUUGAUACACUUUCACAAUUUAUUUCUUGAUAUCUAAUGCAUGAAAUAUUAAGUAGGGGGCUGUUAUUACAUGUUAUAAAAAUUUGGGUGCUGAAUCUUUAUGUUAAGUAGUGAUUUGGUCAGUUUAAAAAAGGUCAAUUUUUAUUACAUCGGAAGCUGUCAGUUAGAGCUGGUAGAAGUUUCUAUUAAUUUGAUAUUAUUUGUCUCACUAGUAGUACACUACACUGUAAAAAUCUUUUUGAGAAAGAGUAGGUGCGAUUUUUUAAAUUUGAAUUUAUUGUCUAAAAGAAAUGCUCUACGAAAUAACUGUGUUCUCGGGCCAAUAGGGACCAAAUAAACAUCUUCUACUUGUAUACCGUAAAUCAGCAUUUGGAUGUGCCUGUAAUUCAGUUGUUGCAUGUCGUUUGUUGCUAUAUAUAUUAUUGUUUUACGUUCUUAGUUUUGUUCAUGAAUAUAUAUAAGGCCUUUAGAUUUCUAGUUUGAAUUGUUUUACUGCCUUGAUUUGUCAUAUCUAUAGGUCUUUUAUAGCUUAUGCUUCGAUGUGAGUUUUGCUCGUUGUUGAAGGCCA